Molecule: long non-coding RNA, 1233 nt
Organism: Zonotrichia albicollis (white-throated sparrow)
Lineage: Eukaryota; Metazoa; Chordata; Aves; Passeriformes; Passerellidae
Source: Ensembl
UCAGUGCAACAAAGAUCAGAUUAUGCCUUCAUAUUUGUGUGUUAGUCUGAUUGCACACAGCAGAAUGUUUAGCUCCAGAGCUUGGGGAUUUUACAGCUACCACAGAUAUCAAGGACAUUAGGCAGAAAUCAGGAACCAACCACAACCUGGAGAAAAGAUCAUAAUAAUAAGAGAAGAACCAGGAUUGCACCAAGGAAAAUAUGAAUUAAACAACAGGGAGCUCUGAUUAAUGAAGCCAGCUGGCUGCGAACCAGAAACAAGAAGGGGGAUGUGUUUGAUCUGCUUUUCAUUCAGGGCUCCAGCUGUGGGCACAGCUGCAAGAGCUGCUCCCAGAAAAAGCAGCAAGGUGAGCAGCAGCAAGGCCCUUCCAGGGAAUGGAAACAAGAAAUGUGUUGAGGACUUUGGGACAGAGAAAAUAAAAGGCAAGAAGAGGAAAACAGAACAGUGGGAACAGACAGAAUCUCAGCAUGUGUGGUCUCCUGUGUGCCAGUGGGAAAAGACCUUGUCAGAGAGAAGCAACAAAACCUCAGGGCAUAUAAAUUUCUGGCCUCAGUUUGAUCUCAAGCUCCCUUCACAGCCUGGAGCAAGUGACUCCAGAGGAGGAGAGCAGCAGCACAGGUUCCAAUGACACCUUGGCAGAAAGCCUAAAAAACUCUCUGCAGGCUCCCACUGGAUCAUUUCUCCUGCUUCUUAUGGAAAGUUUUCAGCCCAGACUGCAGCCAGAUUUAAUGUUCAAGUGAGCUGAUUAUGACUUAUUGUCCCCAUCACAGAGCUGCCACCAGGCCACCCCAGCUGGCAGUGCCAUGAGGUACUUUGCAAAAAUAAGAUGGAUGGCAGCAGCAGGAGCAGGAGAGCAAGCUCUGAACCAGGAGCAAAAGCAGAGCUCAUUUAGGUCUCUUUUGCACUGUGCUGCAAAAGCCUGGGGGGGAAGAAGAGAAGGGGUAAUGGUUUAAACCCAUAUCAAUUUAUAUUAAAUAGAAGGAAGGAUUUUUUUCAUAGUGAGGGUGGUAAAACACUGGCACCCAGGGAUGUGGUGGGGGCUGCAUCCCUGGAAACAUUCCAGGUCAGGCUGGACAUGGAUCUGAGCCCCUGGCUGAGUUGGAGAUGUCCCUGCUCUUUGCAGGGGAUUAGUCCAGGUGAGGUCACUUCCAACCCAAGCUGGUCUGUGAUUGCAUGAUGAACUUUCCUUGGUAGGACAGAGGGUGGGCUGGACCUGCAGAGGUCACAUUGGAG